AGGAAUAGGUUAAAAAUCAAACAAUUUGGCGGUAUCUUAUCCUAAUAGAGGAACUUGAUCUAUAAUCGAUAAUCCACGUUUGAUCUUACUUUUACUAAUGUUUGUAUACCGUUGUUGUUAGAUUACCUUAUAUAGCUAGCCAGUUUUCUUAAUAGAAUUUGUUAGAGUGAUUUGAGGCUAAUUCUGUGACUUCAAAUCAAGGUGCAGUAUAUGUAUAAGAUGAGUUGAGUUACUAUGUGUUAGAAAUAGAUUGUAAAAUGAAAUUUUAUUUGAAAGAGGAUUUAUUAGUAAGUUUAUAUUAAUUAGAUUAGCUGAAAGGGGGUCUGAGAUAUGUACAAAUCGCCCGUCACUCUGGUUUUAAUAUCAGAUAAGUCGUAACAAAGUAGGUGUAAGGGAACUUGCACCUAGAUGA
Molecule: ribosomal RNA, 412 nt
Filed under: Leiobunum formosum
Lineage: Eukaryota; Metazoa; Arthropoda; Arachnida; Opiliones; Sclerosomatidae
Description: partial 12S ribosomal RNA
Rfam family: Microsporidia small subunit ribosomal RNA
Source: RNAcentral